RNAcentral lists this long non-coding RNA (684 nucleotides) under Bemisia tabaci. RNAcentral's name for it is "lncRNA ENSSSA1UGG007757". The record is from RNAcentral. Lineage: Eukaryota; Metazoa; Arthropoda; Insecta; Hemiptera; Aleyrodidae.
AUUCCGCACGGAGGUUCGAAAUUUUUCCUGCAUUUUUCCUUUUUUUCGGGUGGUUCCUUUUAGCAAAAUGCAAUCCAUAUAAUGUCCUCUAUGAUUUGACAUUAAACACUAAGUUUAAUUUUGUUUGUUUGUUUGUUUGUUUGUUUCAGGACUGACAUGGGUGAACCUAGCUGGAAGCAAUUCGUCGCUUCUCGAUUCAUCGAUUCAGACAGGCAACUUAAGUUCGAACUGGUUCGGAGCGGGGCUGCGUAAAUGAUCCAGUUCCCUGUGGACCCGUCCGUUCCGUGACGUUUUAGCUCCUUGGUUUCAUGGGGGAGAGUUCGAACCCGGUUCUGGCGUCAUGAGCCCCGACACGUGGACCAUGUGCUGUUUUUCACUUUGGCCGUAGGGAUGUUGUGAGGAAGGAUCAAGCUGAGCCCCGGCAUGCUCUCUCACGUGUUCCCCGCCCUCGAAGCAACCUUUUGGGUUCUCUUUAGUGUGUUUGCUCCUGCUCUUCGAGGUAUAUCUCAAACACGUGACUGAUAAAUGGAAAAUAUACUCAAGUUCACCAUCUUCUUUUGCUGUUUUUUACACUGCAUCCACUGUGAAAUGCCCGACCACGGCUGCACUCUGAACUGUACUGGUGAGUACAUAGUUCAUUAGUUAACGGUAGCAAGUAUACAUCGAGAUAUCGAAAAAAAUUUC